Molecule: ribosomal RNA, 497 nt
Filed under: uncultured bacterium
Lineage: Bacteria
Description: partial 16S ribosomal RNA
Rfam family: Bacterial small subunit ribosomal RNA
Source: RNAcentral
GAUGGACGCUGGCGGCGUGCCUAAUACAUGCAAGUCGAGCGAACAGAUAAGGAGCUUGCUCCUUUGACGUUAGCGGCGGACGGGUGAGUAACACGUGGAUAACCUACCUAUAAGACUGGGAUAACUUCGGGAAACCGGAGCUAAUACCGGAUAACAUAUUGAACCGCAUGGUUCAAUAGUGAAAGGCGGCUUUGCUGUCACUUAUAGAUGGAUCCGCGCCGUAUUAGCUAGUUGGUAAGGUAACGGCUUACCAAGGCAACGAUACGUAGCCGACCUGAGAGGGUGAUCGGCCACACUGGAACUGAGACACGGUCCAGACUCCUACGGGAGGCAGCAGUAGGGAAUCUUCCGCAAUGGGCGAAAGCCUGACGGAGCAACGCCGCGUGAGUGAUGAAGGUCUUCGGAUCGUAAAACUCUGUUAUCAGGGAAGAACAAAUGUGUAAGUAACUGUGCACAUCUUGACGGUACCUGAUCAGAAAGCCACGGCUAACUACGUG